Molecule: RNA transcript, 1553 nt
Organism: Dermacentor albipictus
Lineage: Eukaryota; Metazoa; Arthropoda; Arachnida; Ixodida; Ixodidae
Source: RefSeq, a predicted model, not a curated record
AUGGUGGCAGCGGAGCCCAGUCGAGAUGUCGACGACAUCGCCUACGACGCUGCCAGUUCCAUCGACUCUGUUACCGACGCCGAAACCCCUGGAUACGUCAGACGACGCUUGGCUUGGUUGGAGAACAUGGAAGAGCGGAGGUUCGCUACUUGGGACACAUCCUCACUACGCAAGGCCUGCGCAUCGACCCGGAGCGUGUUCAGGACAUUCUGGAAAUACCCGAGCCUAAGACCAAGACGGCGUGGCUGAACCAUAAGGAUGGAGCCCCAGAGCCGGGAAGGCCAUACUGGACCUACAGGGAAGAAGUUCACGCACAAGAUGGGCUAGUUUUCCGAAGCAACAAGGUAAUUAUACCGAAAUCGAAACGGGCAGAGAUCAUGCAUCUUCUUCACACAGCGCAUGCUGGAGCAGAUAAGAUGAAAGCGAGGGCCAGCAGUGGAAUGUUCUGGCCAAAUAUGUCCGCAGAUAUUAAACAGUUUUGCAAGAACUGCAAGGUGUGCCAAAUGCACCAGCCACGAAACCAGAAAAUGUCCCUUUUGAGCCAUGAUGUUCCGACCCUGCCAUGGGAGUCCGUAGGCGUGGACCUGUUUCACUAUGGCGGUCGGGAGUUCGCCGUCAUGGUUGACUUCUAUUCCCUUUUCUUCGAAGUCCGAGAACUUCGCCACACCACAUCUAAUGCGCUGAAGACUUGGUGUGCACAAGUUUUUUCUGUGCAUGGGCUGCCACAGAAGCUGUAUAGUGACAAUGGGCCCCCCUUCAGUAGCUCAGAUUUCAAGGAUUUUUUAAGAAAACUAGACAUUGUGCAUAUCACUUAAGUCCAUAUCACCCGCGUUCUAAUGGCAUGACGGAGAGAGCUGUUCAGGAGGCCAAGAAGCUGCUCAAAAAGUGCUCUUUUCGCACACCAGAUUUUGAAAUUGCUCUGCUUGAGUGGCGUAAUACCCCCAGGGACCCGGUUUUGAAGUCUCCUGUGCAGAGGCUCAUGGGGCGGGAGACCCGCACCCUCCUGCCGGUACCAACAACUCACCUGGAGCCAGAGGCCAUACCCAGCAAGGAUGUCCACGACCGUCUCCAGGCGAUCCGGCGCAGGCAAAAGAUCCACUACGACCGCAGCGCCAGGAACCUUUCCACACUGACGCCGGGACAACGCGUAACGACGUACGACAUUCUCCAGAGAACCUGGUCUCCAGCUAUUGUUCUAAGGCCAGCCGCAACGCCAAGAUGUACAAUUGUGAAGACCGAAGACGGUCGUGAAAUCCGUCGCUCAAGAGAGCACCUGCGGGAGGCAGCACCUCAACCGGAGCCAGAAUCAACCUCACAGGGGCCUUCAGAAGACGAGCUCCACCCUGGACAACAGCAGUUACGCAGGAGCACAAGAUUGCGUCGGGAACCCUGUCGAUACCCGUUGCCAGAUGAAACUUCUAGACCUUCUCAUCAUUAAAGGGAGAUGUGGCCAUAUCACGGUGUCAUUCUGAUAGCGCCCAGACUGUUAACACGUGACGUCUACGUCACCCCCAUUCCAAGUGUACAUAUAUCGCUCCCUCCCAUGAAUAAAG